GGAGGUUUAGCUCAGUUGGGAGAGCACUUGCCUUACAAGCAAGGGGUCACUGGUUCGAGCCCAGUAAUCUCCACCA
RNAcentral lists this transfer RNA (76 nucleotides) under Candidatus Izimoplasma sp. ZiA1. Its description in RNAcentral is "Candidatus Izimaplasma sp. ZiA1 tRNA-Val". It matches the Rfam family "tRNA". Rfam says of the family: Transfer RNA (tRNA) molecules are approximately 80 nucleotides in length. Their secondary structure includes four short double-helical elements and three loops (D, anti-codon, and T loops). Lineage: Bacteria; Bacillati; Mycoplasmatota; Mollicutes; Candidatus Izemoplasmatales; Candidatus Izemoplasmataceae. The record is from RNAcentral.